AUUGAACGCUGGCGGCAUGCUUUACACAUGCAAGUCGAACGGUAACAGGUUAAGCUGACGAGUGGCGAACGGGUGAGUAAUGCAUCGGAACGUGCCCGGUCGUGGGGGAUAACGCAGCGAAAGCUGCGCUAAUACCGCAUACGAUCUGAGGAUGAAAGCGGGGGACCAUAAGGCCUCGCGCGAUCGGAGCGGCCGAUGUCAGAUUAGGUAGUUGGUGGGGUAAAGGCUCACCAAGCCGACGAUCUGUAGCUGGUCUGAGAGGACGACCAGCCACACCGGGACUGAGACACGGCCCAGACUCCUACGGGAGGCAGCAGUGGGGAAUUUUGGACAAUGGGCGCAAGCCUGAUCCAGCAAUGCCGCGUGCAGGAAGAAGGCCUUCGGGUUGUAAACUGCUUUUGUACGGAGCGAAAAGGCUCUCUCUAAUACAGGGGGCUCAUGACGGUACCGUAAGAAUAAGCACCGGCUAACUACGUGCCAGCCGCCGCAGUAA
RNAcentral lists this ribosomal RNA (493 nucleotides) under uncultured bacterium. Its description in RNAcentral is "partial 16S ribosomal RNA". It matches the Rfam family "Bacterial small subunit ribosomal RNA", at positions 29 to 523 of the family's 1533-position model. The record is from RNAcentral.